Molecule: ribosomal RNA, 459 nt
Filed under: uncultured bacterium
Lineage: Bacteria
Description: partial 16S ribosomal RNA
Rfam family: Bacterial small subunit ribosomal RNA
Source: RNAcentral
CCUACGGGUGGCAGCAGUGAGGAAUAUUGGUCAAUGGCCGAGAGGCUGAACCAGCCAAGUCGCGUGAGGGAAGAAUGUCCUAUGGAUUGUAAACCUCUUUUGUCAGGGAGCAAAGUCACCCACGUGUGGGUGUUGGAGAGUACCUGAAGAAAAAGCAUCGGCUAACUCCGUGCCAGCAGCCGCGGUAAUACGGAGGAUGCGAGCGUUAUCCGGAUUUAUUGGGUUUAAAGGGUGCGUAGGCGGGUUAUCAAGUCAGCGGUAAAAUCGUGGAGCUCAACUCCAUCCAGCCGUUGAAACUGAUGAUCUUGAGUGGGCGAGAGGUAUGCGGAAUGCGUGGGGUAGCGGUGAAAUGCAUAGAUAUGACGAAGAACCCCGAUUGCGAAGGCAGCUUGCUGCAGCGGAACUGACGCUGAUGCUCGAAAGCGCGGGUAUCGAACAGGAUUAGAUACCCUGGUAGUC